Molecule: ribosomal RNA, 402 nt
Filed under: uncultured Rhizobiaceae bacterium
Lineage: Bacteria; Pseudomonadati; Pseudomonadota; Alphaproteobacteria; Hyphomicrobiales; Rhizobiaceae
Description: bacterial SSU rRNA
Rfam family: Bacterial small subunit ribosomal RNA
Source: RNAcentral
UGGGGAAUAUUGGACAAUGGGCGCAAGCCUGAUCCAGCCAUGCCGCGUGAAUGAUGAAGGCCUUAGGGUUGUAAAGUUCUUUCACCGGAGAAGAUAAUGACGGUAUCCGGAGAAGAAGCCCCGGCUAACUUCGUGCCAGCAGCCGCGGUAAUACGAAGGGGGCUAGCGUUGUUCGGAAUUACUGGGCGUAAAGCGCACGUAGGCGGAUCGAUCAGUCAGGGGUGAAAUCCCAGAGCUCAACUCUGGAACUGCCUUUGAUACUGUCGGUCUAGAGUAUGGAAGAGGUGAGUGGAAUUCCGAGUGUAGAGGUGAAAUUCGUAGAUAUUCGGAGGAACACCAGUGGCGAAGGCGGCUCACUGGUCCAUUACUGACGCUGAGGUGCGAAAGCGUGGGGAGCAAACA